AUGAGUGCCAAGAGUGUGGGAAAAGACUCCCUGGGAAGGGUGACCUCACCAUGUACACCCACACACUCUGAAGGAAGACCUCAUGAAUGCCGUGAGUGUGGCAAAAAGUUCAGUAGGAAGAGUGCCCUCAACACACACACCCUUACACACUCUGAAGGAAGACCUCAUGAAUGCCGUGAGUGUGGCAAAAAGUUCAGUAGGAAGAGGGACCUCAACACACACACCCUGACACACUCUGAAGGAAGACCUCAUGAAUGCCGUGAGUGUGGCAAAAAGUUCAGUAGGAAGAGGGACCUCAACACACACACCCUUACACACACUGGUGAAAGACCUCAUGAAUCCCGUGAGUGUGGCAAAAAGUUCACUCAGAAGAGUAACCUCAAGAAACACACCCUCAAACACACUGGUGAAAGACCUCAUGAAUGCCAAGAGUGUGGUAAAAAGUUCAGUUAUAAGAGUAACCUCAACAUACACACACUCACACACACUGGUGAAAGACCUCAUGAAUGCCGUGAGUGUGGUAAAAAGUUUAGAAAUAAGAGGAACCUCAACACACACACCCUGACACACACUGGUGAAAGACCUCAUGAAUGCCGUGAGUGUGGCAAAAAGUUCACUCAGAAGAGUGACCUCAACAAACACACCCUCACACACACUGGUGAAAGACCUCAUGAAUGCCGUGAGUGUGGCAAAAAGUUCACUCAGAAGAGUAACCUCAACACACACACCCUCACACACACUGCUGAAAGACCUCAUGAAUGCCAAGAGUGUGGCAAGAGGUUCAGUUCUAUGUCUUAUCUCAAUGUGCACAUCUUCAGACACUCUGGCCUGAGAGAGUUCAAGUGUGAUGUUUGUGGGAAGCAUUUCAAGGUGAAGGCAGAUAUUACCCACCACAUGAAGAUCCACUUCCCCUGAGGUGCUGUGUGUGGUGGUGGAGGUCGGCGGGUCGCAGCCACGUCCUGGUUCUGCUGACGGGUCAUCUUCCUCGAUGCAUCAGCAUAAGAAUGUACAGUCGCGAUAUGAAGUGAUGUGGCCGCUCUCAGAAUGUUUCGUACAGGAGCAUUUGAAGGUUUCCGAGGCUGGAGGGAGUCCUUGGAGCCCGGCGCUGCUGCAGGCACUCCCCCGGUCAGGCGGCGCCCCUGGACAGCCCAAGGUGGAGGUGCCGGGAGGCCAGCCAUGCAGGGUGAGAAGAUCCAUGGGGACCAGAGACUGCAGGAACACCCCGGAUGUCCUGCACCCCAUGGCGGGGAGUCUGGGAUGACCUGCAGACAAGACAACACGUGAGGAAGGACCACAGGAGCUGGCAGCAGUGGAGGAUCCUGAGGUGCAUCACUGAGGGCAGGGACAGCGGGCAGCACACCAGUCGGACCACCAAUGGCCUGUAGGGGCACUGUACCGGGGCCACGCUGCCACACAGCCGGGAUAAGUGUAGCAGGGGGCAGGUGUCUGGGGGGUUGUCAACAUACUGUGGGGGACAUACUGUGGGCUGUGGCGAGGUCGGUCGGUCUCUCUCUCUCUCUCUCUCUCUCUCUCUCUCUCUCUCUCUCUCUCUCUCUCAAUACAUCACUGGAUUGAAGAGGCUGCCAGCAUUGCCCUUUGAAGUCAGUCAGUCAGUCUCUCUCUCUCUCUCUCUCUCUCUCUCUCUCUCUCUCUCUCUCUCUCUCUCUCUCUCUCUCUCUCUCUCUCUCUCAA
This is an RNA transcript of Eriocheir sinensis (Chinese mitten crab), 1692 nucleotides long. RefSeq lists it as uncharacterized. Lineage: Eukaryota; Metazoa; Arthropoda; Malacostraca; Decapoda; Varunidae. The record is from RefSeq and is a predicted model, not a curated record. The transcript has 4 exons.